UACGGGGGGGGUAAGCGUUGUUCGGAAUUACUGGGCGUAAAGGGCUCGUAGGCGGCCAACUAAGUCAUACGUGAAAUCCCUCAGCUUAACUGGGGAACUGCGUGUGAUACUGGAUGGCUUGGAUUUGGGAGAGGGAUGCGGAAUUCCAGGUGUAGCGGUGGAAUGCGCAGAUAUCAGGAGGAACACCAAUAGCGAAGGCAGCUCGCUGGGACGGUAUUGACGCUAAGGCGCGAAAGCGUGGGGAGCAAACAGG
Molecule: ribosomal RNA, 253 nt
Filed under: uncultured bacterium
Lineage: Bacteria
Description: partial 16S ribosomal RNA
Rfam family: Bacterial small subunit ribosomal RNA
Source: RNAcentral